Molecule: ribosomal RNA, 252 nt
Filed under: uncultured bacterium
Lineage: Bacteria
Description: partial 16S ribosomal RNA
Rfam family: Bacterial small subunit ribosomal RNA
Source: RNAcentral
AUCAACCUGCCCUUCAGAGGGGGACGAACAGUUGGAAACGACUGCUAAUACCGCAUACGAUCCAAUCUCGGCACCGAGGAAAGAUGAAAGGUGGCCUCUAUUUAUAAGCUAUCACUGAAGGAGGGGAUUGCGUCUGAUUAGCUAGUUGGAGGGGUAACGGCCCACCAAGGCGAUGAUCAGUAGCCGGUCUGAGAGGAUGAACGGCCACAUUGGGACUGAGACACGGCCCAGACUCCUACGGGAGGCAGCAUG